RNAcentral lists this ribosomal RNA (253 nucleotides) under uncultured bacterium. RNAcentral describes it as "partial 16S ribosomal RNA". It matches the Rfam family "Bacterial small subunit ribosomal RNA", at positions 524 to 776 of the family's 1533-position model. The record is from RNAcentral.
UACGGAGGGUGCAAGCGUUAUCCGGAUUCACUGGGCGUAAAGCGUCUGUAGGUGGUUCGAAAAGUCCACUGUUAAAAAUUGAGGCUUAACUUCAAAGAUGCCGUGGAAACUUUCAAACUAGAGUAUGGUAGGGGUAGAGGGAAUUUCCAGUGGAGCGGUGAAAUGCGUAGAUAUUGGAAAGACCACCGAUGGCGAAGGCACUCUACUGGGCCACUACUGACACUGAGAGACGAAAGCUAGGGGAGCAAAUGGG